Molecule: ribosomal RNA, 301 nt
Filed under: uncultured bacterium
Lineage: Bacteria
Description: partial 16S ribosomal RNA
Rfam family: Bacterial small subunit ribosomal RNA
Source: RNAcentral
CAGCCGCCACGGUAAUACGAAGGGGCUAGCGUUGCUCGGAAUGACUGGGCGUAAAGGGCGCGUAGGCGGCGAUCAAAGUCAGGCGUGAAAUUCCUGGGCUCAACCUGGGGGCUGCGUUUGAUACUUGAUUGCUAGAGUGGGGAAGAGGGUCGUGGAAUUCCCAGUGUAGAGGUGAAAUUCGUAGAUAUUGGGAAGAACACCGGUGGCGAAGGCGGCAACCUGGUCCUUGACUGACGCUGAGGCGCGAAAGCGUGGGGAGCAAACAGGAUUAGAGACCCCGGUAGUCCCUGUCUCUUAUACA